This 467-nucleotide ribosomal RNA is filed under the name uncultured bacterium. Its description in RNAcentral is "partial 16S ribosomal RNA". It matches the Rfam family "Bacterial small subunit ribosomal RNA", at positions 28 to 506 of the family's 1533-position model. The record is from RNAcentral.
GACGAACGCUGGCGGCGUGCUUAACACAUGCAAGUCGAACGGAAAGGCCCUGCUUUUGUGGGGUGCUCGAGUGGCGAACGGGUGAGUAACACGUGAGUAACCUGCCCUUGACUUUGGGAUAACUUCAGGAAACUGGGGCUAAUACCGGAUAGGAGCUCCUGCUGCAUGGUGGGGGUUGGAAAGUUUCGGCGGUUGGGGAUGGACUCGCGGCUUAUCAGCUUGUUGGUGGGGUAGUGGCUUACCAAGGCUUUGACGGGUAGCCGGCCUGAGAGGGUGACCGGCCACAUUGGGACUGAGAUACGGCCCAGACGCCUACGGGCGGCAGCAGUGGGGAAUAUUGCACAAUGGGCGGAAGCCUGAUGCAGCAACGCCGCGUGCGGGAUGACGGCCUUCGGGUUGGAAACCGCUUUCGCCUGUGACGAAGCGUGAGUGACGGUAAUGGGUAAAGAAGCACCGGCUAACUACGU